GGGCUCGUAGUCGAACGGUAAGACGCUGCCUUCGCAAGGCAGAGACUCCGGGUUCGAUUCCCGGCGAGUCCA
RNAcentral lists this transfer RNA (72 nucleotides) under Microcaldota archaeon. Its description in RNAcentral is "tRNA-Ala". It matches the Rfam family "tRNA". From Rfam's summary of the family: Transfer RNA (tRNA) molecules are approximately 80 nucleotides in length. Their secondary structure includes four short double-helical elements and three loops (D, anti-codon, and T loops). Further hydrogen bonds mediate the characteristic L-shaped molecular structure. tRNAs have two regions of fundamental functional importance: the anti-codon, which is responsible for specific mRNA codon recognition, and the 3' end, to which the tRNAs corresponding amino acid is attached (by aminoacyl-tRNA synthetases). tRNAs cope with the degeneracy of the genetic code in two manners: having more than one tRNA (with a specific anti-codon) for a particular amino acid; and 'wobble' base-pairing, i.e. permitting non-standard base-pairing at the 3rd anti-codon position. The record is from RNAcentral. RNAcentral also lists the same sequence under 2 other names. Lineage: Archaea; Nanobdellati; Microcaldota.